Molecule: transfer RNA, 72 nt
Filed under: Camelus bactrianus (Bactrian camel)
Lineage: Eukaryota; Metazoa; Chordata; Mammalia; Artiodactyla; Camelidae
Also listed under: 2 other names
Rfam family: tRNA
About the family: Transfer RNA (tRNA) molecules are approximately 80 nucleotides in length.
Source: Rfam by way of RNAcentral
AGGGGUAUAGCUCAGUGGUAGAGCAUGUGCUUAGCACACACAAGGUCCUGGGUUCAAUCUCUAGUACCUCCA